Long non-coding RNA from Aedes albopictus (Asian tiger mosquito), 1975 nucleotides. RefSeq lists it as uncharacterized. Lineage: Eukaryota; Metazoa; Arthropoda; Insecta; Diptera; Culicidae. The record is from RefSeq and is a predicted model, not a curated record. The transcript is spliced from 2 exons.
UUCCGGAACCGGUUCUCAAAAAUUAGUUAUUAUUAAUGUCUAUAAUCAAAGUCCACGUGAAUACCUUUCCAACGAUCCUCGGACGGUCCUGAUUACUUGUUUGGUUGCAAACGGCAUUUUUCAGUUGAAGCAGGUUCCCGGUGGCCACAGUGGCCAAAUUCGGAUUUCUCCGGUGGUUUUGAAAACUAGACUUGUGCCCCUUUCAUUUGAGCCAAGAGAUCCAAAAUUGGACAAGCCACUGAUUUUUGCGAGCUGUCCAAAGUUUGGGGUUAAAAAUGACCCCAGGGUCUUAUUUGUAACUUGUUUAUGGGAGUGCCUCUAGGGGUCAUUCAAUGCUUUUAAUUUUUGGGAAAGCUUUAUUUUCACGAAAAUAUAAUUGUCAGAAAAUGUAAGAUUGCUAGGAUUCGUUAAACAAAAGCUACAGAGAAUUGAAAUUUGAAAAAGGUCAAAAAUGACCCCAAGACCUUACUAUGUUAUAAAACAUGUUGAGAAACUAAAUUUUAUUUGGAUUUUGAGAAAAAUGGCACUAAAAAUUCUUCACAUUUUAGCAUUUAAAUGCUAAAUUUUUGAACUGAAGGUUGUUCUAAAAUAAUGAAAAUUCUCUGUAAAAAAAAUAUUGAUUCGCCGCGACACACCAGCGGAACUGACGUUUCUCUUCACACACGCGGAAAUAAACCCGACGUACCGAAAAACAAUCAUUUGGAUACAAGAGCUGCGGACCCCUGCAUCCACUUUCCCGAAAAUGUCAGCGGAUCUAAUGUUUCUCUCCACAACCUUUAAAUUUCCGAUCCUAGUAAGCAGAAACAACCAAAACGAAUUCCGAAUCAAGAAUCAUCGCCACGUUUAAUAGGGAAUUCUCAACCCCCCUCCUCUCUUUGUACGGGGUUCCCUAUCUAACCUGUUUAAUUGAGCGAUAUUAUCUGCAUUGUUAAACUCCGUUAAAAAAGUUGCAGCAUAAAUUAGAUGAAAACGAUUAUUGAACCUAGUUUUUAAACCAUAAAACUUAAUGUUUUAAUACAAAGAAGAAUGAUAUCACAAUUUCAUUGCGCUUAAAUUUUUUGGAUUCAUCAUGAUCAUCAAGAGUUUUCCGUGAAAUACUAUCAGUAUUGGAAUGCUUUCUGUGUAUUUCGCAAGAAGAUCACUACACACUAAGAUCAACUCGUUAUUUUCCCCAUGUUUUUACCGAGUUUACAGCAGAUUUAACUCGGUACACUCGGUUAUUCUUUUUGCUGAAUACUCUGUGAAUGAGUUAACGAGUUCUGCAAAUGAACUGUCAACAAUUACAGAUGAACGGUAAAUAUCGUUACAGGUGAAUGGUAAAUGUUGAUUACCGAGUUAAAUCUGCUGUUGAAAAUUCAGUAAAAAGAUGGAAAAAAUUAAAACAUAAUAAAUUAAGUAAAACAGAUCCCAGCUAUGUUCAUUUGUUUGAAGAUAUAGCACGUGCAUUUAGUAUGAUGUUUGAAUCGUAAUAUAACACGUUAAACCUGUAUCACAUAGUUUAAUACGGAGAAUCAUUCUCCAGAUUCGCUCCAUUUGCACAUUACAUGGUCUCCGCAUAUGCAAAGAUCUAGUUGUGGUUCGGCACUGAAUGUCAAGCCAAUGAAUUAUUGGCAAACGUUGGUUCUAAUAAAAUUGAACUCAAUAUACUAAGACUGAAAACGUGCAUGUAAAUCUGAACACCGAAUCCCGCACUCUGUACGUGUCCGCUACGACCACACUUAGGCCUUUCGGGCGUAAAAUGAGCACACCAUGUAGGAGAACUUUUCUCGACGUGUUUCUGUUUAUCGUGCGCUCACGUAGGUCGGCUCUCGAUAGUAGUGGAGUGGUUUUAGGACGCUUCUUUAGUUCGUAACGUGAUUACUAUCGGUUUUCCCUCUUAUUUUUUGUCCAAAAUCCCUUUGCAAAACGCAACUUCCCGAGAGGGCCAUAUCCAAAUGUUAUCUCAUGGAGGUAUCAUUCUUCCUUUCUUCCGUCC